This is a long non-coding RNA of Passer domesticus (house sparrow), 1651 nucleotides long. RefSeq lists it as uncharacterized. Lineage: Eukaryota; Metazoa; Chordata; Aves; Passeriformes; Passeridae. The record is from RefSeq and is a predicted model, not a curated record. The transcript is spliced from 3 exons.
GCUUGCCUCUCCGAGAUGGACUUUUGGAUCCUUUCCAACGCAGCCUGUACCUCUUGGGUGAGCGACCUAGGAGAAUUGAGCUCCUCUCCCCCUUUCAACAAAUUGAAAAGGGGGGCCAGGUCUUCGGUGGGAAUGCCUAGCCAAGCCCUCACCCAAUUCAGAGACCCACACAGCUGCUGGGCAUCAGAAAGCGUUUGAAUGGAAUUCCGAAUUUUAAUUUUUUGUGGUGUGAUAGUUGUUUUGCUAAUUGUAAGACCUAGAUACUUCCAGGGUGGCAUUCUUUGAAUUUUGUCCUGCUGCAACUCGAACCCUGCAGCAACCAAUGCACUGAUUGUUAGGUCAAGACUGUGAGCAAGUUCGUCAUCAGUUGGAGCACAGACGAGGAUGUCAUCCACGUAAUGAAAAAUUGUAGCGUUGGUUGCCUUUGCCCUGACUGAUGAGAGCAAGGAAGAGACAUACCACUGGCAUAUAACUGGACUGUUCUUCAUGCCCUGGGGCAAAACUGUCCAGUGGUAGCGCCUCCUAGGGGCCUCUCGGUUGAUGGUAGGAACCGAGAAAGCAAAACGCGGAGCAUCGUCGGGGUGUAGGGGAAUUUGGAAAAAGCAGUCUUUUAUGUCAAUUACAGCUAAAUUCCAAUUUUGGGGAAGCAUUGUCGGGGAGGGCAUCCCUGGUUGGAGGGGACCCAUGUCUUUGAUGACGUUGUUAAUUUGUCGAAGGUCGUGAAGGAGCCGCCACUUCUCUUUAUUAGGUUUCUUUAUGACAAACACUGGGGAGUUCCAUGGAGACGUGGUCUCCACCAGGUGGCCUCGCUGCAGCUGUUCCUCCACGAGCUCCUCGAGCGCCUUUAAUUUCUGUUUUGAAAGCGGCCACUGUUCUACCCAGACAGGUGUGUCAGUCAGCCAAUUCAGUUUCUGGGUUGGGCGCUCCUCAGUGACCGCUGCCCCAAAAACCUGGGGAGCCGCUGAUUGUUUCGCCAAUUGGAUCCCUCCUACACCUCGGAUCCGUUCUGCUGCGUCCUGCAACUCCCAAUGUGACGGCCAAUCCUGUGAGGGAAUGACUGUGACAUCUGCUCCAGUGUCCAGAAGCCCGUGAACGAGCUUCUGGUCUCCACCUUUCUGUAGGCUGCAGGUGAUUCUUGGUUUUUCUUUGCCUAGGGCCUGAGCCCAAGCCACCGAUGGGAGGUGUGAGGAUGUGGAUGUUUUGGGUGGCUCGGAGUCCCAGGGCCCCUCAGGGAUAGGAAUGGCUUGCGCCACAACUUGGCCCCGAGGCAGAAAGGUGGGAGGGCUGGCACAAUACAUGGCUACUGCGAAUGUUCCCGGGUCUGAUGAUAUGAGACCCGGGAUGAUGUGAAUGUCUUGUGGUGUUGAUUUGGAAUCUCCAACCGUGACGAACCUACCCUUGGUCCGAUGCCAGGUACCUGGGCACUCCGGGCUGACGGAGACGAGGUGGAUAUUUGAGUCAAUAAGAUGGAGUGGCUCCGUCAACUGCAACCGAAAGGGGAUCGUCCUGGAGGUGGUUGUUAGGACUGGCCGAGGCACCUCCUGAAAAAGAUCAGAAAUAGGUCUGUCGCAGCUACCCUCCGAGCCGGAGCCCUGGGUUGCUUGUCGAGCUCCUCUGCGAUGAUUGCGACUUUGCGGUCGCAGACGUCUAG